This 383-nucleotide ribosomal RNA is filed under the name uncultured bacterium. RNAcentral describes it as "bacterial SSU rRNA". It matches the Rfam family "Bacterial small subunit ribosomal RNA", at positions 419 to 793 of the family's 1533-position model. The record is from RNAcentral.
CGGGUUGUAAAGCACUUUCAGUAGGGAGGAAGGUAGUGUAGUUAACACCUGCACUAUUUGACGUUACCUACAGAAGAAGCACCGGCUAACUCCGUGCCAGCAGCCGCGGUAAUACGGAGGGUGCGAGCGUUAAUCGGAAUUACUGGGCGUAAAGCGCAUGCAGGCGGCCUGUUAAGUCAGAUGUGAAAGCCCGGGGCUUAACCUCGGAAUUGCAUUUGAAACUGGCAGGCUAGAGUCUUGUAGAGGGGGGUAGGAAUUUCAGGUGUAGCGGUGAAAUGCGUAGAGAUCUGAAGGAAUACCAGUGGCGAAGGCGGCCCCCUGGACAAAGACUGACGCUCAGAUGCGAAAGCGUGGGGAGCAAACAGGAUUAGAUACCCUGGUAG